UGUUGUCAGUUGUCCUGCUGAUUUCC
This 26-nucleotide non-coding RNA is filed under the name Rattus norvegicus (Norway rat). The record is from RNAcentral. Lineage: Eukaryota; Metazoa; Chordata; Mammalia; Rodentia; Muridae.